CGAACGCUUCUUUCCUCCCGAGUGCUUGCACUCAACUGGAAAGAGGAGUGGCGGACGGGUGAGUAACACGUGGGUAACCUACCCAUCAGAGGGGGAUAACACUUGGAAACAGGUGCUAAUACCGCAUAACAGUUUAUGCCGCAUGGCAUAAGAGUGAAAGGCGCUUUCGGGUGUCGCUGAUGGAUGGACCCGCGGUGCAUUAGCCAGUUGGUGAGGUAACGGCUCACCAAGGCCACGAUGCAUAGCCGACCUGAGAGGGUGAUCGGCCACACUGGGACUGAGACACGGCCCAGACUCCUACGGGAGGCAGCAGUAGGGAAUCUUCGGCAAUGGACGAAAGUCUGACCGAGCAACGCCGCGUGAGUGAAGAAGGUUUUCGGAUCGUAAAACUCUGUUGUUAGAGAAGAACAAGGACGUUAGUAACUGAACGUCCCCUGACGGUAUCUAACCAGAAAGCCACGGCUAACUACGUGCCAGCAGCCGCGGUAAUACGUAGGUGGCAAGCGUUGUCCGGAUUUAUUGGGCGUAAAGCGAGCGCAGGCGGUUUCUUAAGUCUGAUGUGAAAGCCCCCGGCUCAACCGGGGAGGGUCAUUGGAAACUGGGAGACUUGAGUGCAGAAGAGGAGAGUGGAAUUCCAUGUGUAGCGGUGAAAUGCGUAGAUAUAUGGAGGAACACCAGUGGCGAAGGCGGCUCUCUGGU
This 699-nucleotide ribosomal RNA is filed under the name uncultured Bacilli bacterium. RNAcentral's name for it is "bacterial SSU rRNA". It matches the Rfam family "Bacterial small subunit ribosomal RNA", at positions 63 to 733 of the family's 1533-position model. The record is from RNAcentral. Lineage: Bacteria; Bacillati; Bacillota; Bacilli.